UGGUGCGUUUGCCUGAGUUCUUGUCCUAC
RNAcentral lists this non-coding RNA (29 nucleotides) under Homo sapiens (human). The record is from RNAcentral. Lineage: Eukaryota; Metazoa; Chordata; Mammalia; Primates; Hominidae.